Molecule: unclassified non-coding RNA, 350 nt
Filed under: soil metagenome
Description: partial contains 5.8S ribosomal RNA, internal transcribed spacer 2, and large subunit ribosomal RNA
Rfam family: 5.8S ribosomal RNA (bases 1-120)
Source: RNAcentral
GAUGAAGAACGCAGCGAAAUGCGAUAAGUAAUGUGAAUUGCAGAAUUCAGCGAAUCAUCGAAUCUUUGAACGCACAUUGCGCCCCCCGGCAUUCCGGGGGGCAUGCCUGUCCGAGCGUCAUUGCACCCCUCGAGCCCGCGCGGGUUUCGGUGUUGGGCCGCCGUCCCCCGGGGGGGGGGCCGGGCCCGAAAGGCAGUGGCGGCCCCGGGGCGACUUCCCGCGCGAUCGCAGCACCUCGCGGCCGAAGCGUUCGCCCCGCGGGCCCGCCUGGACCACCAGUGUGACGUACCGGUUGACCUCGGAUCAGGCAGGGAUACCCGCUGAACUUAAGCAUAUCAAUAAGCGGAGGA